UGCCCCCGCAGGGUUCCCCUUUUCCUCCCCGCUGGGAUGAAGUGUCUAUGGAAUCUGGGAUCUGGGUGAAACUGCAGCUCUGCUGGUAUCCAGGGACGUGAGGUUCCGGGGGACUGCGUUUCCCUGUGGCUUUCCAGGUCGGCAGCAGCCGGAGGAAAUGGGGUGCCAGAGCCGUGCCCCAUCAGGCCGUGUUUGCCUCUGAGGAACAGAGAGUCCGGGCUGAGGGAGAAGAGGACGAACUCCCAGCCAUUCAGGCCUGACAGUCCCCUGCAGCGAGAGCUCAGCACGCAUCCCCAGAGGCAAGUCCAGCAGGAGAAAGAAGGAAAAAAGGUGAUUUCUUUUGCUUGCAAGUCCUUUCCAGUUCUGAAAGCCCAGCCAACAUUUGCUCUUGAUUGUGGUCGGGUGAAGCACGAGCAGCGGGCACGGGUCGUGCCGUGGAUGGAGCCGCAAAGCCCGGGGUCAUUGAGAGGGGACACGAGAGGUGUUUGUGUAGGAAAAUGCCGAGGGGAUGUCCAGGGGAGCGAGGAGGCAUUUCUGAGGGGAUUGCCGAGGGAGGUGAAGGGAGCCCGGCAGAGAAUUUCUCUGGGAAAUUUCUGCGAGGGCCCUGGGGAGCGCAGCCAGGGCUCUCCAGGGCUAGCAGGCAGGGCUGAGCCCUUGGGACUCUGCGUGUCCUCCUUCCCUGGCAGCAGCCGGCGAGGAAGGGAGGAGAGGCUCCGUGUGGGAUGAGGCCCACAGGAGAAAGCGAGCAGGGGAGCGGCCUGGGGCUGGAGAGGGGCAGGAGAAAGGCAAAGGGACCUCGCUGGGGUCACAGACUGGACACUUGGAUGAGCAGUGCAGGUGAGGAGUGGAUCGGAGUUCACCUGCAGGGAAAGAGGGAGGGGAUCUUUUGGAGGGAGAGGCUGAGGCAAUAAUGAGUUCGCAGUCCUCGGCCCAAGCUGUGUUUGCACAAAGUGGGAGCAGAGGUGAAGGGCGAUCCAAAGGCAGCCCUGCUUGUCCUCUGACUUGUUUAUAAGUUUUAAUGUUUCAUUUUGCAGCUUCUGUAAAUAUUAAAAAAAAAUGAGAACAAGAGCA
This is a long non-coding RNA of Cinclus cinclus, 1071 nucleotides long. RefSeq lists it as uncharacterized. The record is from RefSeq and is a predicted model, not a curated record. The transcript is spliced from 2 exons. NCBI's taxonomy places the organism in Eukaryota, Metazoa, Chordata, Aves, Passeriformes, Cinclidae.